Molecule: small nucleolar RNA, 72 nt
Filed under: Ornithorhynchus anatinus (platypus)
Lineage: Eukaryota; Metazoa; Chordata; Mammalia; Monotremata; Ornithorhynchidae
Description: Small nucleolar RNA SNORD73 (ENSOANG00000017111.2)
Rfam family: Small nucleolar RNA SNORD73
About the family: U73 is a member of the C/D class of snoRNA which contain the C (UGAUGA) and D (CUGA) box motifs. U73 is encoded within the introns of ribosomal protein S3a and contains a 12nt region of complementarity to a conserved sequence in 28S ribosomal RNA.
Source: Rfam by way of RNAcentral
GAUGUGUGAUGACAAAAUGUUUCGGUCCCAAAUGACAUUCCAUGAUUUGACUGUUGCAUUUUUCCUGACAUC